GAUGAACGCUGGCGGCGUGCCUAAUACAUGCAAGUCGAGCGAACAGACGAGGAGCUUGCUCCUCUGACGUUAGCGGCGGACGGGUGAGUAACACGUGGAUAACCUACCUAUAAGACUGGGAUAACUUCGGGAAACCGGAGCUAAUACCGGAUAAUAUAUUGAACCGCAUGGUUCAAUAGUGAAAGACGGUUUUGCUGUCACUUAUAGAUGGAUCCGCGCCGCAUUAGCUAGUUGGUAAGGUAACGGCUUACCAAGGCAACGAUGCGUAGCCGACCUGAGAGGGUGACGGGCCACAGUGGAACGGAGACGGGGUCAGGACUCCUAGGGGGGGAAGAAGAGGGGAUUUUCCGGAAGGGGGAGAAACCGUGAGGGAGAAACGCCGGGUGAGAGAGAAGGUUUUUGGGAGCGAAAAACUCUUUUAUAGGGAAAGAAAAAAGGUGAAAGUAACAAGGCAGGUUUGGAGGGACCUAAAGAAAAAAGCCAGGGCAAAAGACG
This 495-nucleotide ribosomal RNA is filed under the name uncultured bacterium. RNAcentral's name for it is "partial 16S ribosomal RNA". It matches the Rfam family "Bacterial small subunit ribosomal RNA", at positions 28 to 505 of the family's 1533-position model. The record is from RNAcentral.